GUUAAUUAGCUUGUACGUCGGAGGGUUAAUUAACACAUGUCUCCUAAACAAAGGACAGUUGAACAAAACUGAUGCACAUUCCAGACUAGUUGUGUUGUACAAGUGUGUCGAAUGUCAGGGGAAUCGGUGAGGUACAUGAGACUCGUCUGCAUGAUCCUCACAUUGUCUCUCUCUUAAUACGACCAAAAAACACAAAUAUGUAUAUUUGAUUCUAGCACGUGAGGAAUUACACGAUUUUAUAACUAAUGUCUUCCGAACAGGACCUAUUUGAGCCUUGCGUGAUUGAAAUUUUGUUUUUUUUAGCCAAGCAACAGCGACGCCCACUUUUAAUAUAGAUGUGUAGUCAAAACAUUUCAAGUUACCGCGACAUGUGACUAAAUUCCUGUUUAAUUAAGAUAGGCAAUGCCAUGUUUAAUUAAUAAAGGCGAUGCCAUCAAAAGACUCUUGUGCAGCUUUAAAGCCUGAACUCGGGAAGAGAUAAUAACAGAAAAAAAAAGAAGACUUAAAAGAAGUGAUUUAAAUGGACAAUGAUACCUUAAAGUGUGUUAAAGUAAUAACACGUCCCUUGUUAGCAUUGUAGUUGUAAAUACUAUUAACAUACAAAAUAUAAAAUAUGUCAAGAUGAUUCAAGAAUGACCUUUAAACUCACGAUCGCUUUGCCUAAUAUUACCUCCCUUAUCCUAGGUUUGUUAUCAAUCAAGCAUGCCAGUUAUUUCUGUACUGAGGAGUUAAAAUUAGAAAAUGUAGAUGUCGGUUUUUUUGUUUUUUUUCCUUACACAAAGGGUCAAAACAAAAGCACACAGUUGAAAUCGUUAGAAUUCAGACUGACACCCCUUAUUGUAGGCACUGUCAAUAAAGCCCCGAAAAAAUAAAACCGAGACCGUGUCAAACUAGCUAUUACGGCAUUUCCCUUUGUAGAUACAAAAUACCUGCAAAGAGUCAAACAAUUGUGCGUGUCUUUUGAGCGUAAAGUUCAACCAGGUCUUUGGAUGGACACUGAAGGACUUAACGACUUAAAUGGUUUUCACUUGAAACUGUUGGGAGAGCAUUUUACUCUUGUCUACGUGUUUGAUGGCCAAACGUUAAGCGCGCGUGCUUCGCCGACCAAGAAACGCCGUUACAUUAAGGAAAUCUAAACUAGCUAGUCUCUCAGGAGUGGAGGCCAUCCUGAUUUCAUUCAGUAUGAUAAACAUUACGUCAGCUUGAUGUCUCACAUAUCCAUCUUGGUGAUUUGGGAGAGAGCAGAUGGAGAGCAACAAAAGCUGUAAUUUUUCUUUGCAUCUACCAUCAUAGUAAGUGUUGCACAGGAAAAAUGAAUUGUUAUUUUGUUUUUAUCUUUUUUUGCUUAUUCUGAACUGGUAACUCAUCACAAAUUCGUCCCGUAUUCAUUACGCAGAGUGUGAUAAUCGGAAGACGUUUCGCCAGAUAAAUUAUUUGUUAACUACAAAAUGUAAAUAAUAUAACAAAUUUCACCUCUUUUGUUUGCGGAAAGGCACAUGUUUACAAAAGGACCUUUGCUCAUCAGCUAUUUGAAGGAGAAAAGUUGCCUCUGAAUGGUCCAUCUUGCACAAUGACUGUAAUGUUUUCUCUUAUGCCAAAGGAGACUCCAUCAUCUUUAAUUGACUAUACCGAUGGUCCUUUUCGACAGAUGAAAACACUGAGUAACAAUUUUCAAGGACUGUAUUCGCCUUUUUUACCCCUAGUGAAGACCAGAUGUGAAAACUGUUUUCCAUCCGAAAAAGAUCCUUGUUACUCGGUUCUGUCAUAGAAAAACCGAUAAAUCAUUUGAAAACUACGGCAUAGCAAUAACGAUGCGGAGAACAACUUCUUCUGAAACGAUAUACGCCAUCGGCAAUGCACUGUACAACAUUCGAAAGCACUUCGUUAAGUUCUCCACCAGUAAAUCGAAGCAGAACAAAAAGAAGUCCACGGAAAAAAAAAAACAAAACAAAACAAA
This 1957-nucleotide long non-coding RNA is filed under the name Orbicella faveolata. RNAcentral describes it as "uncharacterized LOC110067232". The record is from RNAcentral. Lineage: Eukaryota; Metazoa; Cnidaria; Anthozoa; Scleractinia; Merulinidae.